GUCCACGCCCUAAACGAUGUCAACUGGUUGUUGGGUCUUCACUGACUCAGUAACGAAGCUAACGCGUGAAGUUGACCGCCUGGGGGAGUACGGCCGCAAGGUUGAAAACUCAAAAGGAAUUGACGGGGACCCGCACAAGCGGUGGAUGAUGUGGUUUAAUUCGAUGCAACGCGAAAAAACCUUACCCACCUUUGACAUGUACGGAACUCGCCAGAGAUGGCUUGGUGCUCGAAAAGAGAGCCGUAAACACAGGUGCUGCAUGGCUGUCGU
This 270-nucleotide ribosomal RNA is filed under the name uncultured bacterium. RNAcentral's name for it is "partial 16S ribosomal RNA". It matches the Rfam family "Bacterial small subunit ribosomal RNA", at positions 793 to 1055 of the family's 1533-position model. The record is from RNAcentral.